AGAGUUUGAUCCUGGCUCAGGAUGAACGCUGGCGGCGUGCUUAAUACAUGCAAGUCGAACGAAGAGCUUCUGUAGUAAUACGGAAGUUUCUUAGUGGCGAACGGGUGCGUAACGCGUUGGUGACCUGCCCCGAAGUGUGGGAUAACAGUUCGAAAGGACUGCUAAUACCGCAUAUGGUCCUCCGGGUUAGAGGCUGGAGGUCUAAAGCAGUAAUGCGCUUCGGGAGGGACCUGCGUCCCAUCAGCUAGUUGGUGAGGUAAUGGCCCACCAAGGCUACGACGGGUAGGGGACCUGAGAGGGUGGUCCCCCACACUGGCACUGAAACACGGGCCAGACACCUACGGGUGGCAGCAGUAGGGAAUAUUGGGCAAUGGGCGAAAGCCUGACCCAGCAACGCCGCGUGUACGAUGAAGGUCUUCGGAUCGUAAAGUACUUUUCUGAGAGAUGAGAAAGGACAGUAUCUCAGGAAUAAGUCUCGGCUAACUACGUGCCAGCAGCCGCGGUAACACGUAGGAGGCAAGCGUUAUCCGGAUUUACUGGGCGUAAAGCGCGUGCAGGUGGUUCGGUAAGUUGGAUGUGAAAGCUCCUGGCUCAACUGGGAGAGGUCGUUCAAUACUACCGGACUUGAGAGCAGUAGAGGGAGGUGGAAUUCCCGGUGUAGUGGUGAAAUGCGUAGAUAUCGGGAGGAACACCAGUGGCGAAAGCGGCCUCCUGGACUGUUUCUGACACUCAGACGCGAAAGCUAGGGUAGCAAACGGGAUUAGAGACCCCGGUAGUCCUAGCUGUAAACGAUGUGAACUUGGCGUCGGCGGGUUCAAAGCCGUCGGUGCCGAAGC
This 836-nucleotide ribosomal RNA is filed under the name uncultured bacterium. RNAcentral's name for it is "bacterial SSU rRNA". It matches the Rfam family "Bacterial small subunit ribosomal RNA", at positions 8 to 852 of the family's 1533-position model. The record is from RNAcentral.